Molecule: RNA transcript, 947 nt
Organism: Syzygium oleosum
Lineage: Eukaryota; Viridiplantae; Streptophyta; Magnoliopsida; Myrtales; Myrtaceae
Exons: 6
Source: RefSeq, a predicted model, not a curated record
UUUUGCCGUGUUCUUCGGCGGCGGACGCUGGGAAGCGAGGACACCCAGCGCGCGGUCUGCUUCUGUUGGGUUCUUCGGCGGCGUCCGAGAGUGUUAGGUCUGCUUCUGUUGGGAAGCGAGAGGACCAGAAAUUUAGCUCGUAGACAUUUCCGGACAGCUUCCUUUUUUUCAGGGGCCACGUUUCUCUCUUGCUCUCAAUAACAAAAUGAUUCACGGAUGCUACGCAUGUUGUGAGGAGACUUAAUAAAAUAAUCAAUAACUAUUGGAUGGGCAGUAUAGUAGUUGGACCACCGCUCCAAAAGAAGUAAAGGAAUUGUGGUGGAAUGAGUUCAAGCGGAAGUUCAGGUGGGAUGAAGCGGAAGAGAAAGAAGUUAAAAGAAUUUUUAAGAAGAAAGCCGGUGAUCACAUGCAAAAUGUGAUGAAUAAAGCAAAGAGAAAGCAAGAAAAGCCGGAUUUUAUUACAGCUGACAAUUGGACGGAAAUUAUGAGAACUUGGGACACUGAAAAGCAUAAGCAAAUCAGUGAAAUUAAUAAGAAGAAUCGAGCUUCUAGUUCUAGUGAAGGGUCUGCCACAUAUGCUGGGGCUCUAUCAACAUCGGGGAGCGUAGAAAAAGAAUGGCAGAUGAAUUGGGGACGGAACCAACAUUUAUGGCUACAUUUGAACGCACCUUUCAGAAAAAAGAUAAGACAUGGACUGGCAAUCGAGCAAAAGCUAUUAAGGACAAAUAUGAUGAACUUGUAAUGACCACGGCUGCUGCUAGUGGUGAUGGUGAUGGUGAUGGUGUUGCUGCGUCCGAGUCAUCGGUUGACAGUAUGGCAUUAUGGAUGGAGGCAUCGGGUGGAAUGAGAAGAGGUCAAAUAUUUGGGAUGGGAUCCUUGUCAAGGAUGUACAGAACGCCGGCUGUUGCAACUUCAUCCUCCAAUGCGGCUUUUUUAAGGGCACAACA